Molecule: ribosomal RNA, 254 nt
Filed under: uncultured bacterium
Lineage: Bacteria
Description: partial 16S ribosomal RNA
Rfam family: Bacterial small subunit ribosomal RNA
Source: RNAcentral
UACGGAGGGGGCUAGCGUUGUUCGGAAUUAUUGGGCGUAAAGGGCUCGUAGGCGGCGUAUCGCGUCGGGAGUGAAAGCCCGCUGCUUAACGGCGGGUUGGCUGCCGGUAUGGGCAUCGCUGGAGUGCGGCAGGGGAGACUGGAAUUCCUGGUGUAGCGGUGGAAUGCGCAGAUAUCAGGAGGAACACCGGUGGCGAAGGCGGGUCUCUGGGCCGUUACUGACGCUGAGGAGCGAAAGCGUGGGGAGCGAACAGG